GACGAACGCUGGCGGCGUGCCUAAUACAUGCAAGUAGGACGCAGUUGCGAACGGGUGAGUAACGCGUAGGUAACUGCCUAUUAGAGGGGGAUAACUAUUGGAAACGAUAGCUAAUACCGCAUACUAGUAGAUGGACCUGCGUUGUAUUAGCUAGUAGGUAGGGUAAUGGCCUACCUAGGCGACGAUACAUAGCCGAACUGAGAGGGGUGUCGGCCACACUGGGACUGAGACACGGCCCAGACUCCUACGGGAGGCAGCAGUAGGGGAUCUUCGGCAAUGGGGGGAACCCUGAACGAGCAACGGCGCGGGAGGGAAGAAGGGUUUCGGAUCGUAAAGCUCUGUUGGUAAGGAAGAGGUACUUAACCAGAAAGGGACGGCUAACUACGUGCCAGCCGCCGCGGUAAUUC
RNAcentral lists this ribosomal RNA (407 nucleotides) under uncultured bacterium. RNAcentral describes it as "partial 16S ribosomal RNA". It matches the Rfam family "Bacterial small subunit ribosomal RNA", at positions 28 to 526 of the family's 1533-position model. The record is from RNAcentral.